RNAcentral lists this transfer RNA (92 nucleotides) under Trametes sanguinea. RNAcentral's name for it is "tRNA-Ser". It matches the Rfam family "tRNA". Rfam says of the family: Transfer RNA (tRNA) molecules are approximately 80 nucleotides in length. Their secondary structure includes four short double-helical elements and three loops (D, anti-codon, and T loops). Further hydrogen bonds mediate the characteristic L-shaped molecular structure. tRNAs have two regions of fundamental functional importance: the anti-codon, which is responsible for specific mRNA codon recognition, and the 3' end, to which the tRNAs corresponding amino acid is attached (by aminoacyl-tRNA synthetases). tRNAs cope with the degeneracy of the genetic code in two manners: having more than one tRNA (with a specific anti-codon) for a particular amino acid; and 'wobble' base-pairing, i.e. permitting non-standard base-pairing at the 3rd anti-codon position. Lineage: Eukaryota; Fungi; Basidiomycota; Agaricomycetes; Polyporales; Polyporaceae. The record is from RNAcentral.
GACAUCAUAGCCAAGUGGUUACGGCGACAGAUUCGAACUCGGUAGAUAUCUGUUUCCCUUCGGGAGCGCAGGUUCGAAUCCUGCUGGUGUCG